RNAcentral lists this transfer RNA (73 nucleotides) under Candidatus Woesearchaeota archaeon. RNAcentral's name for it is "tRNA-Phe". It matches the Rfam family "tRNA". From Rfam's summary of the family: Transfer RNA (tRNA) molecules are approximately 80 nucleotides in length. Their secondary structure includes four short double-helical elements and three loops (D, anti-codon, and T loops). Further hydrogen bonds mediate the characteristic L-shaped molecular structure. tRNAs have two regions of fundamental functional importance: the anti-codon, which is responsible for specific mRNA codon recognition, and the 3' end, to which the tRNAs corresponding amino acid is attached (by aminoacyl-tRNA synthetases). tRNAs cope with the degeneracy of the genetic code in two manners: having more than one tRNA (with a specific anti-codon) for a particular amino acid; and 'wobble' base-pairing, i.e. permitting non-standard base-pairing at the 3rd anti-codon position. The record is from RNAcentral. Lineage: Archaea; Nanobdellati; Candidatus Woesearchaeota.
GGAGCCAUAGCUCAGCUGGGAGAGCACUAGACUGAAGAUCUAGGUGUCGUGGGUUCAAAUCCCACUGGCUCCA